CACCCACUAACCCUCUUCUUCUUCUUCUCUCAGUAUAAAGUACAGCGUGGCUCAGGGGAAGGAGGGGAUCAUCGACUUCACGCCCGGAUCAGAACUCCUGGUGGCCAAAGCCAAGAAUGGACACCUGUCUGUGACGGCUCCAAGACUGAACUCCAGAUGAUGACACACACACACACACACACACACACACACACACACACACACACACACACACACACACACACACACACACACACACACCCCUCCUCCAAUCAGACGCCAGCUGUCACUCCAGGUGGAAUGUGCUUCCAAUAACAGAAAAGACAAAAAAAAUACAAAUCCAGCAAACUAAUUGAUAUAUUUAUGUUUAUAUAUUAUAUUUUUGGGGCGUUAAUACUGUUGCUGUUUGAAUAUUUUCUGAUUUUAUAUACGAGGCCAAGGAAUAACAAAUAUCGCGGUGCGUUUUUCUCGCACCGCGUGUGUUUAAUGUGCUUUAUUUUUGGGAACUUGACCAAGGAAACAAUGAGGGAAGGUGUCAGAAUAAGAGGAGAAGCCGUCGAUGAAAACCAGGGUUUGUUUCUUGCCUCAAAUGAAACUUUAUUUACUUUCAACUUUUCUAACCGGGGGUUGUUUUGAAGGUGGGCAGAGUAGAGGGUCGGGGAUUGAAGGGAUCCUUGUGUUUUGAAUAAGAGAUUCUGUGGGAUUCACUACAAGAAACUGAAGAGUAAAAGCAUGUGAGAGACGGCGAGAGGAAUGUGAACAGGAAGCUGAAAGACGUGCCUUUCCAUCUUUUCUUUGACUAAUUUAUUCGAUAUUAACGGAUGAAAACCAUGACACUCAACGUGAGAAUGAGUCGAGUUCAGAUUAGAUUAAAACCCUGAGUUUUCCCCCCAUGUCCUCCCUGCUUUGCCUCCCCCCCUCACCUGAGACUGAACUGCUCUGAUGUUUUUACUUUAGAUUAAUAUUCAAUAUCUUUCUCUGUAUUUGAAAAGCAUUUAUACCAAAAAGUGCGACGAAAACUCAAUUUAAAGCCACAUUAAGUCGGGGAUAGAUGUGAUGUGUUCUGAUUUGUGAUUUGUGCAGACAAUCAAUUAUCAUGAUAUUUUUUGACCAAAUUAGUCAAUAUUGAAAUGCCAAAAACAUGUACGCAAUGAAAUUUUUGAUGAUCUUUAAUGUUGUUAUUUGUUUGUUUUUUGGUGGAAAUCUGUGUUAGUAUAUUGACUAAAUAAAGACAAAAAAACUUCAUAUUUGAGAGGCUGAAAACAGCAUUUAGAGACAUUUUCUUGCAUAAAAAAUGCAGCUCUAAUGGCACAUAAACAUAUAUUAAACUGUUCCUUUGAUACCAGAAAAUAUAAAACAUUCAAAGGUUUUCCAGGGUAGAAAAUUGUAUCUUGUUAUGCAAUAUUAAAAAUAGUAAUACAAAAUUGUAUUAAAAUAUUUCUACACUAUAAAAAAUUAAAUAUUUUAGUAAAAUAUUUCUACACUAAAAAAAGUUAAAGAAAUUAUUCAAACAUAGUAAAAUGUUUUUCUGAAAUACUUCUACACUAAAAAUAAAAUAUCCCAGCAGUUCAGAUGAAGGUUUCCUGCAGAACAUUUCUCCGUCUAGCGUUGACCAGAGACUGAUCCUCUUAAAGUUUAAAAUGUAAAACUUUGAAGAGGAGCUCGAACAUUUUGCCAAGUUAUUUUUUGUUCUCGACGACGUGACUUCCUCUGUGCACGGCUCCGCACUUAAAGAGAACUAGCCAAAGAUUUUGAUUUCUAGUGAUUCUGAUGUAUGAUUUAUAUGAUGAUAUUAUUAUAUUGUUGUUUUUCAGGAGGGAGAUCUAUAUGUACAGUUUGUGUUAUAAAUGAGAGGAAAAGCUACGAUGCAAACGUGUUCCUGUGCCUUGUUUGAUAAAGAAACUGCAGAUUUAUGUGGAAUAUGACAUAAAGAAACUAAACAUGCUCCUGUGUUUUGAAUCACUGAUGCACUCCUGACUCACUGUAUGCACCAAACCAAUGUAUGAUUAUACAAACACACUAAAAGAUGAGAUACUAAAGAUUUGAAAAUAAAUUUGAAAAUUAAAAUUU
Long non-coding RNA from Notothenia coriiceps (black rockcod), 2049 nucleotides. RefSeq lists it as uncharacterized. The record is from RefSeq and is a predicted model, not a curated record. The transcript is spliced from 2 exons. NCBI's taxonomy places the organism in Eukaryota, Metazoa, Chordata, Actinopteri, Perciformes, Nototheniidae.